GACGAGACAGAGUACGAUUCAGGGCCGCCAGGUUUCUACGACAGGAGGAAGGAGAAAGGUCAAGAGAGGUUAUCAAACAGGUCACAAGAUCCACUCAGAGUUGACAGGGUCCUUUUGGAAAAGUCGUGGGAUCCACUGUGUGUCUCCUCUCUCCUUGGCUUCUCUCCUCUGAGCCUCCUCUAGCACAGACUUUUCUUGAGUGGCCUGCUGCUGGUCCUGAUCCAAAAUGGCACUGGUCACAUGCUGCCACAGUCUGCCAGAACAGUGACAUCAAAAGGACAUGAGGUUUUUGCAAGUCAGAUGUAAAAUACUCGAACUCCCCCUGCUGGUCCACUGGUACCACUUGUCUUUUGAGGCGCUGGCUGCGGAUUUCUGAACUGGGGUUCCACAGCGUCUCCUGCUGGC
Cynoglossus semilaevis (tongue sole) is the source of this 405-nucleotide long non-coding RNA. RefSeq lists it as uncharacterized. NCBI's taxonomy places the organism in Eukaryota, Metazoa, Chordata, Actinopteri, Pleuronectiformes, Cynoglossidae. The record is from RefSeq and is a predicted model, not a curated record. The transcript has 3 exons.